Molecule: non-coding RNA, 2038 nt
Organism: Zonotrichia albicollis (white-throated sparrow)
Lineage: Eukaryota; Metazoa; Chordata; Aves; Passeriformes; Passerellidae
Source: RefSeq, a predicted model, not a curated record
GGGAAAAGCCUGGCUCUGAAGGAUGAUCUCUCCUGCCCAGACUGGCAUUCUGGCAUUCCGCCUUCUGCUGAAACCGAUGCUCAAGACCAGCAUUUGAUUUCAAGACAGGUCAAAAGCUGGGCCACAAAACCCACGUUGUCUGAGGGAGCAUGGCUGACCAAGAAGGAAGAGGAAGAAGCAUCUGCAGCUGAAUUUUGUCUCUUCUGGCUAGAACCCUUGUGAAAAAGAAGGAAGUCUGGGGCCAAGGCUUUCACCUGCUUGAGAGAGCUGGAAUCCUCUGCAAGACUUGUGGCCAAGUGUUGACAAACAAAGAAAAAUCAUCAGAUGAUGAAUACUCAGUAAGACUGCUCUGAACCCAACCUUGACCUAGCAAAAGCCAGAUGUAGGGAUGUAAGAUAUCUGGGGAAGACACCUCACUCAUUUAUGUUUCCUCUUGGUAUACUGCAAAUUGACCUUGAGUUUUUGAGCUUCUCCAUGGAAGAACUGCUUUGUUUUUUUCUGCCAGGGAAGACCCCAGGAUAUUCUCACUGGAGGAUUUAAACAAUGGUAAAGAGUUUUUUGAGCUUCCUCAGCUGUGCUCUGGGACAUGAGGACUAGGCUACAAAAGUCUUUGUGGUCUCUUCCAGGCCAAUUUUGUGCAAUUCAAGGAUUUUUGAGAUCAACCCAUUCAAAGUAUAUUUCUAAAUGUAAUUUGACACAAAUCUGCUUCUAUAUCUCUUCAGUACUGAAUAUACACUCAUGGAUUCUUUCUUUCAAAUCAUUUCAGUUUAUGUGCUUUCAAUUAAAAUGUUAUAAAACAUUUAUUGCUUCUUGCUGCAAAGCACCGAGGACGUUUACAUUUUAAAAGACACUCUCCAUACUGAAUUUGUGGUGCUUACUGCUGUAUUGCUUGCAGUCUUGCCUCCAGUUCUGUAUAUUUGCCAGCUGUUUCCAACACAGUCCUUGGAUUUCACUGAAUGUUCCCAUAUGGAUGCUUUCUGGAGCUGAAGCCACUGAGUUUGAGCUGUUUGUUAUUGAGGCAAUAUCGAGACUAGAGAUGAUCUGUAUUCCUAAUUACUAUGAGCUGAUGAAGAGUUUGGUGACAAAGGAAUCCCAUAAAAGGCAAAGAGCACAGUCCAGGGCUUUUGCCACAGCAUUUCCAUGUGGCCAUGUGAACUUGUAUCUUAGAUCCCAGUGGGGCAGCUAAUGAUCUCCUGCCUCAGAGGAGUUUCAUGAGGAUGAGAAUGUCAUGACCAGGGGCUGGCUCUGGUGGGACAGGGGUCAGGGGAUGUGGGUGGCUGAGCCAGCUGAUCAGUGCAUGAGUAAGAAGAAAUGCACAAAACAUGGACCCCAUGAGAAAUGUUGUAUUCCAUUCCCUCUAUAUUGCUUGCCUUUGUCCUAUUUUGAAUUAGUUAGGGCCAGGUUCUCAGAAAUAUUUAGUCAGAGAAUUCAUGAGAACUUUGAUGAGCUAGAUUUUACAUCUCAGUGUUGAAACCUUGCCACCUAAACACCUUUGAGUCUGAGCCUUCACUGGAGACAAAUAACAACAAAGAGACAUUUUUCCAUGAAAAAAAACAAACCUUUGACCAUUCUGGGAUCCCAUUCAACUCUUUUCUGACAGACACUCACCAUGAGCUUCAGCCACAAGUCCUCUAUGAAGAUUCAUUUGCACACAGGAUUCUGUAAAACUACAGGUACAAGCAUCAAUUGUCUUGAAAGUGCUUUUGUUACUUCUAGCUGUCAUUUUCUUGCCAAACCCACACCCUGAACUAUCCCAUCUAAUUAUACUCACUGGCCAUCUUCCCCCUUUUUAUUGGCAAUAUUUUUCUUGUUAAUUGUGCAUGCUUGGUUUUAAAGAAUGGUGCCUGCCUUUCCUUAUGUGACUCUGCAAGGAAUAUUUCUGUAUCCUGGGUAGUUUCUCUGACAUGUUUAUGUCUUUCUGGUUAGUGUAAAAAAUGCAAGACAUAUUAUGUACUGCAGAAAAUCAGGCAGGCACUCUACAGUUUUAACAUUGUGCCUUGUUGUAUAGUUAAAAUAAAUGUUCUUGGUAUCAGCUUUA